GAGUCUAGCAUGUGCGCGAGUCAUUGGGACUCUAACGAAACCUAAAGGCGCAAUGAAAGUGAAGGUCCGCCUAGCGCGGACCGAGGGAGGAUGGGUGGUCCCGCGGGACCGCCCCGCACUCCCGGGGCGUCUCGUUCUCAUCGCGAGAAGAGGCGCACCCAGAGCGUACACGCUGGGACCCGAAAGAUGGUGAACUAUGCCUGGUCAGGACGAAGUCAGGGGAAACCCUGAUGGAGGUCCGUAGCGAUUCUGACGUGCAAAUCGAUCGUCGGAACUGGGUAUAGGGGCGAAAGACUAAUCGAACCAUCUAGUAGCUGGUUCCCUCCGAAGUUUCCCUCAGGAUAGCUGGCGCUCGCUUCUCGCGAGUCUCAUUCGGUAAAGCGAAUGAUUAGAGGCAUUGGGGUCGAAACGGCCUCAACCUAUUCUCAAACUUUAAAUGGGUGAGAUCUCCGGCUUGCUUGAACUGUGAAGCCGCGAGAUAUCGGAUCAGAGUGCCAAGUGGGCCACUUUUGGUAAGCAGAACUGGCGCUGUGGGAUGAACCAAACGCCGAGUUAAAGCGCCUAAAUCGACGCUUAUGGGAUACCAUGAAAGGCGUUGGUAACUUAAGACAGCAGGACGGUGGCCAUGGAAGUCGGA
Molecule: ribosomal RNA, 637 nt
Filed under: Chariochilus sp. NLG-2014
Lineage: Eukaryota; Metazoa; Arthropoda; Insecta; Coleoptera; Scarabaeidae
Description: eukaryotic LSU rRNA
Rfam family: Eukaryotic large subunit ribosomal RNA
Source: RNAcentral